CCGGCGCCCCCUAUGGUCACUAGUGGUAACAGCAGCAGUAACAGCACUGUUGCACAGUAGGAUUUGGCCUCCUGUCCUCCUUAGGGUACCCAGUCAGAGAACGGCCCCCCACGGACGGGUUCCUGCUGUGGAUACUGUGCCUCCCUUGUUGGGCGGGCGUGGGCUUGCCUAGGACGCUCCUCAGCUGGGCCCAGAAGAAGGCCUGCUGGUUGACCUGCUGAGGCCACUCCAGGAGCUUCUGGGAUCCAAACGUACGGCGGAUAGAGCCGGCGUGACCUCCCACUGAUGACAUGGCGGAGUACAGACUUCCAUCUGAGAGGACGAAAACAAUCAGUGGAUAGAAGGUCAUGUGGCGCCCACGCCAUCAGCGAAACACGGAUGAGAAAAUCCAGCAUUUGCAUGGAUAACUUUUAAAACAAAGUGAGUCAUCUGGCAGUGUUGGCUUUGUUGUGUUUUCGCAGCAACAUCUCAUCAAAACUCAUUCUAAGGCUGACUGACAUGAACCAAGAAGUGAAUAUUACUGUCGACGGCUGCAAGAGGGCGCUCUAUGCCUGUGACAACUAUAUGCUGCUCCUGUAGGCUACCCCUGGAAAAUAUAACUCAAUCAUUAACCUAAAGACAACUGACAAGACUGAUCACAAACAAAAAUUCUGGCAGAGCUGUUCAGAAGCGACACAGAGGAUGAAGAAUUCAAUGGAGUCAGCGAUGUGGAGAAGAUGCGGGAUCUUAGGGAACUUGCUUUCCGUUAACUUGCUUGCUGGACUCGCUGGCUUGUAAUGUUAAUCAGUCAGCCUUCCAGGUAUGUUAUUUAUGCUAUUAUGUCACCGAAUAACUUAAUAUGUUACAUUAACAUACCCGACACCUAUUCCGCCUGUUGUUCUGUGUGCUAUUCUCUAGUUGAAUAACCUGCCUUUCCAGAUUAAAUGUCUGUUCUUGGUCUUGAAUUUUGUGAAAUAAAUUUUUAAAUGUGACUUAUAGUCCAAUGUGACUUAUGUUUUUUUUCCUCUUCAUGACUUCUUUUUUUUACUGAUGCAGGUAUAGUUCGGAAAAUGUGGUCAUUGUUUAGAGGAGUAAAAUGGGUGUGCUUGUGCACUGUCUCAACCAGUUCAAAGCUUGAAUAUUUGGCAACCGUUGAAAAUGUUGAUCAUUUUUUGUCUUGAACAUGUGUUUACAUUGCUGAUCAGCUCCAGAUGAAACUAUGAGCAAAUGAUACAGCUUCUGAUAGUGCAUACACUCAGCCACCCACAUUCAAAUGA
Molecule: long non-coding RNA, 1256 nt
Organism: Dunckerocampus dactyliophorus (ringed pipefish)
Lineage: Eukaryota; Metazoa; Chordata; Actinopteri; Syngnathiformes; Syngnathidae
Exons: 5
Source: RefSeq, a predicted model, not a curated record